UACGUAGGGGGGCAAGCGUUGUCCGGAUUUAUUGGGCGUAAAGAGCGUGUAGGCGGCCAAGCAGGUCCGCUGUGAAAACUCGAGGCUCAACCUCGAGACGUCGGUGGAAACCGUUUGGCUAGAGUCCGGAAGAGGAGAGUGGAAUUCCCCGGUGUAGCGGUGAAAUGCGCAGAUAUCGGGAAGAACACCGGUGGCGAAGGCGGCCUGCUGGGCUAUGGCUGACACUGAGGCGCGGACAGCGUGGGGAGCAAACAGG
Molecule: ribosomal RNA, 256 nt
Filed under: uncultured bacterium
Lineage: Bacteria
Description: partial 16S ribosomal RNA
Rfam family: Bacterial small subunit ribosomal RNA
Source: RNAcentral